GUUAAAUAAUUACACUUUUAUAAAAUUAAAGUGACAAAUAUGUUGCAACUAUAAGUUGGGAGUUAAAUAUUUAUAUUUUUAUAAAGUUUAAGGAUAAAAUAAAUCACAAUUAAAACUGACGAUUUUAAGUGACUUUUAAGUAAAAGUCAAGGGUCAAAUGACACAUUUGGCCAUUCUCAGUAAUUCAUUGAUAUUUUCGAAAUCAUUACAUAUCAAUAUAUAUAAUUCUAUUAAAACGUGAUAUUGAUUAUCAAUCCAACCACUAUCAAAUAAUAUUAUUCUAUGAUAAUAUUCAAUUUGAAUUAUAUCACUUAUAUUAUUCAUACAUUAUAAAUAAGACUUUAGUCAGGUAUAUAUGAAUCCACUUAUGUUAUAUAUCACUCAUACGUUAUAAAUAAGUUGAAAGCAUCUUUUGACUCAUGACUUUUAUUUGAAAAGUCAUUUGAGACCUCUAUUAAAGUGUAACUAUUUAACCUCUCAUCUUUGCAAAAAAAGUCACUUGACAAUUUUAUCUUGCAUUCCAUUUAAUACCUGAACUUUAUAAAAGUAUAACUAUUA
Molecule: unclassified non-coding RNA, 558 nt
Filed under: Hevea brasiliensis (rubber tree)
Lineage: Eukaryota; Viridiplantae; Streptophyta; Magnoliopsida; Malpighiales; Euphorbiaceae
Source: RNAcentral